This 292-nucleotide ribosomal RNA is filed under the name uncultured bacterium. Its description in RNAcentral is "partial 16S ribosomal RNA". It matches the Rfam family "Bacterial small subunit ribosomal RNA", at positions 505 to 796 of the family's 1533-position model. The record is from RNAcentral.
GUGCCAGCAGCCGCGGUAAUACGUAGGUUGCGAGCGUUAUUCGGAUUUACUGGGCGUAAAGCGCACCGAGGUGGCUUCUUAAGUUGGAUGUAAAAUCUCCCGGCUUAACUGGGAGGCGCCAUUCAAUACUGGGGAGCUUGAGGUCAGCAGGGGAAGGUGGAAUUCCCGGUGUAGUGGUGGAAUGCGUAGAGAUCGGGAGGAACACCAGUGGCGAAAGCGACCUUCUGGGCUGCACCUGACACUCUAGUGCGAAAGCGUGGGGAGCAAACAGGAUUAGAAACCCCCGUAGUCC